Molecule: signal recognition particle RNA, 329 nt
Filed under: Theropithecus gelada (gelada)
Lineage: Eukaryota; Metazoa; Chordata; Mammalia; Primates; Cercopithecidae
Description: Metazoan signal recognition particle RNA (ENSTGEG00000014660.1)
Rfam family: Metazoan signal recognition particle RNA
About the family: The signal recognition particle (SRP) is a universally conserved ribonucleoprotein. It is involved in the co-translational targeting of proteins to membranes.
Source: RNAcentral
UCUGGGUGCAGUGGCAUGCGUACCUGUAGUCCUGGCCACUUGGGAGACUGAGGCAGGAGGCUCACUUGAGCCCAGGAGUUCAGAGUUGUAGCCGAUUAGGUGUCUGCACUAAGCUUGCCAUCAAUAUAGUGACCUCCUGGGAGUGGAGGACGACAGGUUCCCUAAGGAGGGGUGAACUGGUCCAGGUUGGAAACAAGGGAAUGUUAAAAAUACCAUGGGCACGGUAGCUCACACCUGUAAUCCUAGCACUUUGGGAGGCUGCGGCAGGAGGAUCAAUUGAGCCCAGGAGUUGGAGAUCAGCCUGGGUAAUGCAGUGAGACCCUGUCCCU